This 302-nucleotide ribosomal RNA is filed under the name uncultured bacterium. RNAcentral describes it as "partial 16S ribosomal RNA". It matches the Rfam family "Bacterial small subunit ribosomal RNA", at positions 508 to 808 of the family's 1533-position model. The record is from RNAcentral.
GCAGCCGCCGCGGUAACACGUAGGUCCCGAGCGUUGUCCGGAUUUAUUGGGCGUAAAGCGAGCGCAGGCGGUUAGAUAAGUCUGAAGUUAAAGGCUGUGGCUUAACCAUAGUACGCUUUGGAAACUGUUUAACUUGAGUGCAAGAGGGGAGAGUGGAAUUCCAUGUGUAGCGGUGAAAUGCGUAGAUAUAUGGAGGAACACCGGUGGCGAAAGCGGCUCUCUGGCUUGUAACUGACGCUGAGGCUCGAAAGCGUGGGGAGCAAACAGGAUUAGAUACCCGGGUAGUCCCUGUCUCUUAUACA